GACGAACGCUGGCGGCGUGCUUAAUACAUGCAAGUCGAGCGAGGUUACUGUUUUGGAUCCCUUCGGGGUGAAGAAGCUUUAACCUAGCGGCGGACGGGUGAGUAACGCGUGGGUAACCUACCCCAAAGUCCGGGAUAACAGCGGGAAACCGCUGCUAAUACCGGAUGCCUUUACCUUGGGGCAUCUUGAGGUAAAGAAAGGCAACGCUUUGGGAUGGGCCCGCGUCCCAUUAGCUAGUUGGUGAGGUAACGGCUCACCAAGGCGACGAUGGGUAGCCGGCCUGAGAGGGUGGACGGCCACACUGGGACUGAGACACGGCCCAGACUCCUACGGGAGGCAGCAGUAGGGAAUAUUGCGCAAUGGACGGAAGUCUGACGCAGCGACGCCGCGUGAGCGAUGAAGGUCUUCGGAUCGUAAAGCUCUGUCCUUAGGGGAAGAAGGUCUUCGGACUUGACGGUACCCAAGAAGAAAGCCCGCUAACUACGUGCCAGCAGCCGACGGUAAAAGUACUCUAU
RNAcentral lists this ribosomal RNA (515 nucleotides) under uncultured bacterium. RNAcentral describes it as "bacterial SSU rRNA". It matches the Rfam family "Bacterial small subunit ribosomal RNA", at positions 28 to 532 of the family's 1533-position model. The record is from RNAcentral.